GACGAACGCUGGCGGCGUGCCUAAUACAUGCAAGUCGAGCGGACUUGAUGGAGUGCUUGCACUCCUGAUGGUUAGCGGCGGACGGGUGAGUAACACGUAGGUAACCUGCCUGUAAGCCUGGGAUAACAUUCGGAAACGGAUGCUAAUACCGGAUACGCGAUUUGGUCGCAUGGCCGAAUCGGGAAAGACGGAGCAAUCUGUCGCUUACAGAUGGACCUGCGGCGCAUUAGCUAGUUGGUGAGGUAACGGCUCACCAAGGCGACGAUGCGUAGCCGACCUGAGAGGGUGAUCGGCCACACUGGGACUGAGACACGGCCCAGACUCCUACGGGAGGCAGCAGUAGGGAAUCUUCCGCAAUGGGCGAAAGCCUGACGGAGCAACGCCGCGUGAGUGAUGAAGGUUUUCGGAUCGUAAAGCUCUGUUGCCAGGGAAGAACGCUGUGGAGAGUAACUGCUCUGCAGGUGACGGUACCUGAGAAGAAAGCCCCGGCUAACUACGUGCCAGCCGCCGCCGUAAAAC
Molecule: ribosomal RNA, 519 nt
Filed under: uncultured bacterium
Lineage: Bacteria
Description: bacterial SSU rRNA
Rfam family: Bacterial small subunit ribosomal RNA
Source: RNAcentral